This 253-nucleotide ribosomal RNA is filed under the name uncultured bacterium. RNAcentral describes it as "partial 16S ribosomal RNA". It matches the Rfam family "Bacterial small subunit ribosomal RNA", at positions 524 to 776 of the family's 1533-position model. The record is from RNAcentral.
UACAGAGGUCCCGAGCGUUGUUCGGAUUCAUUGGGCGUAAAGGGUGCGUAGGCGGUUUGCUAAGUUUGAUGUGAAAGCCCGGGGCUCAACCCUGGAAUUGCAUUGAAUACUGGCGGACUAGAGUACUGGAGAGGAAACUGGAAUUUACGGUGUAGCAGUGAAAUGCGUAGAGAUCGUAAGGAAGACCAGUGGCGAAGGCGAGUUUCUGGACAGUUACUGACGCUGAGGCACGAAAGCCAGGGGAGCAAACGGG